This 942-nucleotide long non-coding RNA is filed under the name Homo sapiens (human). Its description in RNAcentral is "HSALNT0406863". The record is from RNAcentral. Lineage: Eukaryota; Metazoa; Chordata; Mammalia; Primates; Hominidae.
AAACCAAAAAGGCCCUGGAGGCUUCCAAGGAAAUGUCUCUGUUGCAAUACUUUGGCUGCAAGAUAUUUUCUUCUGUCCCCAGCCAGAAGGAGCAAUCCUGGUGCUUAAAUAAAAAGGCAUGAAGGCCCAAAGUGGCUCUUGACUUGCCAAGGCAGUAUUACAGAGAAUUAAGCCCUACCUUAGGGCAUGCCAGGAGCCUGCUGGAGGUGUCAGUGUUACUGGAAAAGAGGCCCAACCCAGACCCCAAGAGAAGGUUCUUGGAACUCGUACAAGAAAGAAUUCUGGGAGGUGCUGGCCAUUCCAGGUACCAUGAGGCCAAUGAAAUCAAUGUUCUGUCCUUUCCUUCAUGGUACUGACUGAAGAUCUUUAUCUGAUGUGUUGGAUCACAGGCACAGGCAGGGACAAGAGACAACUUCUACACAUGUCCCAGCCUCUGCUUCACUGGGAACAAGAAGUUGCUCUGAAGUAGACCCCUGAGCAACACAGGUAUAUGAGGAUUUUCCUCCGCCUCGGCCACCCCUGAGACAGCAAGAUCAAUCCUUCCUCUUCCUCCUCUUCCUCCACCUCCUCAAUGUGAAGAUGAUGAGAAUGAAGACCUUGAUGAUGAUCCACUUCCACUUAAUGAAUAGUGAAUCCAUUUCCUCCUCCUUAUGAUUUUCCUAAAAGCAUUUUCUUUUCUCUAGCUUGCUUUAUUAGAAGAAUACCAUAUAUAAUACAUAUAAACAUACACGAUAUGUAUUAAUUUACUGUUUAUAAUAUUGGUGAGGUUUCUGGCCAAGAUUUCUUCCCAGUUCUGACAUUAAAAAAUGCUUCCUGAACACAUGUUGUUCAAGGAUCCACUGUAUAUUAAUUAUAUAAUGUAUAUAUUUAUAAAGUAUAAAUUAAUAUAACUAUAUUAUGAAUUAAAAAUUUAUAAUAUAAUAAAGUAAUAAUUUAUAGAAA